CCAACAGAUAGUAAAACUUCAAAGAACAUAGAGCCUCAUCAGAAUAUUAUGAAAAAGUAUUAGAACAUUUUUAUUUUAGAUUUAUAUUCUAGGACCAGAAACUGUGUCAUAUUCCAUAGAAAUUUCAAACAAACAUCCCUUAUUAAAACUAACUUGGCACUAACUGAUAGUGACAGUAGCAAAUGACAAAAUCAUGACAAAAUGUGCCAAAAAUGAAUCACAAAAAUAAACGGCGGAAUUGGUUUCUACAAAUUUUUUCAUGUUGCAUAUCAAAGUUUGCAGAAUACUCCAGAAUUUCAAUCAAAAUUCGUAAGUUCUUCUAUUCAGUGCGAUAUUCAGAAAGAGCAAAGCAAGAUUUGUAAGUAUGGAGAAAUUGCCACAUAUUCUGAUUCUGAAAACACAUUGGACUUGGUUUCAUGCAGGAAUUUGUUUCAAAAAAAAGAUAUACCAGUAGAAAAAAAGGAAUGUUCCAUCCGGCCUGAAAAAAGUUUCAACGAAUCCAAAUACAAAUCUAUCAAACAUGAUGAACACAACCUAGAUUUCUGUGACAUUGUAGAAAGUGGUGACAUUCUGAAAUUUAACGUAAAUAUCAACUCGAACGCUUGCAUCGAAUGCUUAACUAGAAAAAGAAAAAAUUCUUUAACCAUAUUUGACGAAACAAAGUGUGAGUCGAACGGAAACAGCUUGGAAUUGAUUCUCGACGGAGGUGAAUUAAAAAUUCAACCGUCGAAGAAAAAAAAAAGUUUUGAUCGAACAAAAAUUGGGUUAGGUGAAGAUGUUGAUAACACGGAUAAGACGACCGAAAAAUUUGAUCAGUUACAGAAACAAUACUGCACAUUGUCAAGUAAAAUUGGGAAAUUUAGUUCUAAUAUAAUGAACAGAAUAUCAACAAUUAAAAACGAUGUUGAUCAUAUAAAAACAGUACUUUAUAAAAUUGGACGUGCGGUGGUCGAAGAGAAGAAAUCAACCAUAUCCUUCAGUGUCAGUGAUGUUAAAAAUAGUCUCGAUUGUGUUAAAGAUAUCGAUGUGAACCGGUCUUUAACGAAAACACAAGAAUAUAAAUACAUGCAAGCUAAAAUGAGGGCUUCAAAUUUUUGUAGAUUUUACAACCUGGGUAAAAUGUAUAAUAAAAAGAAAAAACACCAACAUGUUCCACGUCAACAUUGAA
Molecule: unclassified non-coding RNA, 1168 nt
Organism: Leptinotarsa decemlineata (Colorado potato beetle)
Lineage: Eukaryota; Metazoa; Arthropoda; Insecta; Coleoptera; Chrysomelidae
Source: RefSeq, a predicted model, not a curated record